GAGUUUGAUCCUGGCUCAGGAUGAACGCUAGCGGCAGGCUUAACACAUGCAAGUCGAGGGGUAACAUUGUAGCUUGCUACAGAUGACGACCGGCGCACGGGUGCGUAACGCGUAUACAAUCUACCUUUAACAGGAGGAUACCCUUUAGAAAUGAAGAAUAACACUCCAUGGUAUUUAGAAAUCGCAUGAUUUUUAAAUUAAACAUUCAUGGGCUAAAGAUGAGUAUGCGUCCUAUUAGCUAGAUGGUAAGGUAACGGCUUACCAUGGCAACGAUAGGUAGGGGCCCUGAGAGGGGGAUCCCCCACACUGGUACUGAGACACGGACCAGACUCCUACGGGAGGCAGCAGUGAGGAAUAUUGGGCAAUGGAGGCAACUCUGACCCAGCCAUGCCGCGUGCAGGAUGACUGCCCUAUGGGUUGUAAACUGCUUUUAUACAGGAAGAAACACUCCCUCGUGAGGGAGCUUGACGGUACUGUAAGAAUAAGGACCGGCUAACUCCGUGCCAGCAGCCGCGGUAAUACGGAGGGUCCAAGCGUUAUCCGGAAUCAUUGGGUUUAAAGGGUUCGUAGGCGGAUUAAUAAGUCAGAGGUGAAAUCCCACAGCUCAACUGUGGAACUGCCUUUGAUACUGUUAGUCUUGAAUUAUGUGGAAGUAGAUAGAAUGUGUAGUGUAGCGGUGAAAUGCUUAGAGAUUACACAGAAUACCGAUUGCGAAGGCAGUCUACUACGUAUAUAUUGACGCUAAUGAACGAAAGCGUGGGGAGCGGACAGGAUUAGAUACCCUGGUAGUCCACGCCGUAAACGAUGUCUACUUGGAGGCUGUGGCCUUGAGCCGUGGCUUUCGGAGCUAACGCGUUAAGUAGACCGCCUGGGGAGUACGGUCGCAAGAUUAAAACUCAAAUGAAUUGACGGGGGCCCGCACAAGCGGUGGAGCAUGUGGUUUAAUUCGAUGCAACGCGAAGAACCUUACCUACUCUUGACAUCCAGAGAACUUUCCAGAGAUGGAUUGGUGCCUUCGGGAACUCUGAGACAGGUGCUGCAUGGCUGUCGUCAGCUCGUGUUGUGAAAUGUUGGGUUAAGUGCCGCAACGAGCGCAACCCUUAUCCUUGUUUGCCAGCGAGUAAUGUCGGGAACUCCAGGGAGACUGCCGGUGAUAAACCGGAGGAAGGUGGGGACGACGUCAAGUCAUCAUGGCCCUUACGUGUAGGGCUACACACGUGCUACAAUGGCGCAUACAGAGUGCUGCGAGCUCGCGAGAGUUAGCGAAUCACUUAAAGUGCGUCGUAGUCCGGAUUGGGGUCUGCAACUCGACUCCAUGAAGUCGGAAUCGCUAGUAAUCGCGGAUCAGAAUGCCGCGGUGAAUACGUUCCCGGGCCUUGUACACACCGCCCGUCACACCAUGGGAGUGGGUUGCUCCAGAAGUAGGUAGCUUAACCUUAGGGAGGGCGCUUACCACGGAGUGAUUCAUGACUGGGGUGAAGUCGUAACAAGGUAACCGUA
This 1500-nucleotide ribosomal RNA is filed under the name uncultured Polaribacter sp. RNAcentral's name for it is "partial 16S ribosomal RNA". It matches the Rfam family "Bacterial small subunit ribosomal RNA". Lineage: Bacteria; Pseudomonadati; Bacteroidota; Flavobacteriia; Flavobacteriales; Flavobacteriaceae. The record is from RNAcentral.